RNAcentral lists this ribosomal RNA (476 nucleotides) under uncultured bacterium. RNAcentral describes it as "partial 16S ribosomal RNA". It matches the Rfam family "Bacterial small subunit ribosomal RNA", at positions 28 to 507 of the family's 1533-position model. The record is from RNAcentral.
GAUGAACGCUAGCGGCAGGCCUAAUACAUGCAAGUCGAGGGAGAAGCCUUUAGGGGCAGAAACCGGCGCAUGGGUGCGUAACGCGUAUGCAACCUACCUUUCACAGGGGGAUAGCCUGAAGAAAUUUGGAUUAAUACCCCAUAAUAUUGUUGGAUGGUAUCAUCCGCUAAUUUAAACUGCGGUGGAGAAAGAUGGGCAUGCGUCCUAUUAGCUAGUUGGUGUGGGAACGGCAUCCCAAGGCAACGAAAGGGAGGGGCCAGGAGAGGGAGAUCCCCCAGAAUGGAACGAAGGCAGGGACCACACUCGGACGGGACGCAGGAGUAAGGAAUAUUGAGCAAGGGUCGGUAGACUGAACCAGCCAUGCCGCGUGCAGAAAGAAUGCCUUAUGAAUUGUAAGCUGCUAUUAUAUGGGAAAAAUAAGGUGUACGUGUACAUUGAUGACGGUACCAAAUGAAUAAGCAUCGGCUAACUCCGUG